Non-coding RNA from Elaeis guineensis (African oil palm), 1611 nucleotides. Lineage: Eukaryota; Viridiplantae; Streptophyta; Magnoliopsida; Arecales; Arecaceae. The record is from RefSeq and is a predicted model, not a curated record.
UGUUAUUUUUAACCCAGCCGUCGGAUCUAUUAAUUACCGGAGAGCCAAAACUUCUAACGCGUCGGCUUUCCCUUCUGUCCUCGCCUUCGUGUCCUGCUCUCUCUUUCAAGGCAAGAAGAGGCAUUGCUUUCUCGCUCGCUUUUGAAAAAGGCAAAGAGAAAGAAGAGGAGAUCAAUUCACUCUGCGAUAGAUCCGUUCCUGUUGAAGAAAACAAUUGAACUACUCUUCGAUCCUUGGGUGCUAUUCUGGGAAAGGGAUUUUUGAAGGUGGUUGUUACUAUCUGGCGUCAUGAGUUUUGUAUUUCGAGGAAGCAGAGCAGACAUCGAGAGUGGGCUCCCAGGGUUCAUCCCAGAGAGGCGCACUGCGCGUAUGCAUCCGGUUGGUCGGCCUGUUAAUACCAACUCCAUGGCUUUUCUUGUCACUGUUCUUUUGCUGUUUACGAUAUUGAAUUCGCAUCAUAUGUCACCAAACUUUCUGCUUUGGCUAGCGUUGGGAGUGUUUUUGAUGGCCACCAGCCUGAGGAUGUAUGCCACAUGCCAGCAACUCCAUGCCCAAGCCCAAGCUCAUGCUGCAGCUGCCAGUGGCUUGCUUAGGCAUACUGAGGUGCGGCUGCAUGUGCCCCCAUCCAUAGCCUUUGCAACAGGAGGGCGAUUGCAAAGCCUUAGGCUCCAACUUGCGCUUCUUGACCGGGAAUUUGAUGAUUUAGAUUAUGAUGCUCUGAGAGAACUAGAUGCUGAUAAUGCUUCUGAGUCUCCUUCUAUGAGUGAGGAAGAAAUUAAUGCUCUUCCUAUACACAAGUACAAAGCUAGUUCACAGAAGGGUUCUUCCUCAAGCCGACAAAGUGAUAGAUCAUCACUGCAACAGGCAUCAUCAUCUUCUGCAUCUGCAGCUGAGAGGAAGCAGGACUGUGUCAAAGCUGAUGGGAGUGUGAAAACCUCUGAAGAUGAACUGACAUGCACUGUCUGCUUGGAGCAAGUUAAUGCAGGAGAACUGAUAAGAAGUUUACCCUGCUUGCAUCAGUUUCAUGUGAACUGUAUUGAUCCAUGGUUGCGCCAGCAAGGCACAUGCCCUGUCUGUAAACAUAGAGUGAGUUCAGGUUGGCGUGAAAGUGGUGACGGUGAAAUGGAUGCUUCUUAUAUGGUUUAGUACAUGAAUACACCCUUUUGGUAUCGAUACUGGAUGCAUAAGAGCAUGUGGCCAAUAUGUAUUAGGUAUGAUACGCACUUGUAUGAACAUCCCGUGCACAGUGUAGCUAUAAGUGGCUCCGGGCCUCUUCAGUCUGUAUCUGGCCAGAAUAUAGGUGCAGGCAGGAUAUAGUAGGUUCUCAGUUCUACCAGCUUUUAAUUUACCUGAUCUCGCCCAGGUUCGGUCCAAGCCCUUGCGAUUUUCACCAAUAAUGUCUCGCUACUGUUGGAGUCUGAUGUUGCAAUAGCAGCUCAUGUUACAACCUUCACUUAUAUUAUACAUCAUAAGGCGUGCGUUAUAUGCAUUUCAGGUGUGUAUAUGAAAAUGAGGUUGCUUGAUCGAUAUGAACUGUUGUUUUUCAUCAGCAUGGUCCAAAAUAGGUAUUUUAAUCCAUAUAACUUAUCUAAUGUAUACUUAUUCUUUCAU